Long non-coding RNA from Pan paniscus (pygmy chimpanzee), 1813 nucleotides. NCBI's taxonomy places the organism in Eukaryota, Metazoa, Chordata, Mammalia, Primates, Hominidae. The record is from Ensembl.
GUGAUCAUAUAAGAAAAUCACAUGACUUGCAUCUGUUCAGAAGGAGCAAUGACAUAAAGAUAGUAGCUGUUUCUUGUGCUUGGCUUCAGUCGCUCUACAUAGAUCUUUAACCUUUACAACAAGGAUUAAGGGGAGGUGAUCUAAGGAAACUUACCAGCCAGCUGGACUGAUCACUCUGGAAGAUGAGGCCAACCACCCCCAGAAGCUAUCCUGUCCAGAAAGGCUUAAAUAUCAUCCUCCCUCACGGGACUGUGGGGCCCACCACCAUGUUGUGAAGCCCCGUGGCGUUGCGCCCAUAAUAGAAACCAGGAUUCCAUGGGAUGGAGGCAGAGCUGUGCUGCUUUGGCAAGAGACAGGCCACCAUGGAAAUGUGACAACCUGCUUAACCCUGUCUCUACCUGUGAACAUCCCUCCAGGACCUCUCCACUUAUCCAUACCAUGGUGAGCUCAUGUGACAGCACAGGAUGACAGAGGUGACAUUGUUGAUAUUUAGAGAGAGCAUUUCAUCUCCAAGCAGCUGGGUGUGUCUCUCUGCACCUCUGAGUGAGGAAUCACAAACUCAACCUUUAUUCUAUAAAGACAGCCAUUCUCCUAGCCCCUGGACCAUGCCUUUCUCUGAUGAUGGCUGUGGGUAGGAAGAGGCUGAUGGUUCUGGGCCUGUCUGUGCAUGAGCAGGUUUAUGGGGAUAAGGAUAAAAGUGUGAGAAUCCACAUAUGUGUUCAUGGUCAUGUGCCCCUGUGACCUUGCAUGUGUUGUGGGCCCCUGUAACCACAUUUCAGGCCUUGUCAUCUUCCACUGCAACCCAGGGGCCCCAAGAUCUAGCACUGCAGAGGCCCCACUGUGGAAGACAGUCAGGAUGGAGCAGGACCGCCUGUCCCAUGCUUCUUGCCCCAAGACUACUGCCUGGGAGACUCUGGGCUUUGCAGUUCUGGCCAUAUGCCUUGAGAAGGGACAGGAGUCUCUGCAGAGCAAAAGACGUUUUUCUGCCUCAUGCCCCAGCCUGACUGUGAAGUGACUUUCAAGUGUCUACAGUAUGUCAACUGCAGAGUUGCCUCAUUUCACCCUCACAGCAACUGUAUGAGGCGAACACAUUAUCCCCAUUGUACAGAAGAGAAACCUAGGCUCAGAGAGUUAAGCAGUGUGUCCAAGGCCACAGAGCUGAAGAGUUUGAGCCAAGAGUUGAACUCCCACAUUCCAACUCUAAAUGCUAUCAUCUUCCAACACACCACAGUCUCUUCUUCUUCGCCAGCCUCACCCUUUUAAGCACCUCUGGUGGCAGAGCCAACCCUUUCCCUGAGCGAUUUGUUUUGGGAAGCAGGCGUGGCAGCCAGCAUAACUCUCCCUAGCUCCUCUCCAGACUCCUUCCAUGACAGCAGAGGUGGAUCCCCUGUCCCCAGAGCAGGCCUUCCUGCCUCAAGCCUCAUGUGGCAGUCAGGCACCUAGCUCCUGCCCCCCUACCUAGUUACACCCCUGCAUUCUUCUCCCUCUGUCAGCAGCUUCCUGGGGGCAAGCCUUGGUCGCAGGGGGUGAGGGACAUUGAGUCGGAGGAGAGCUAGUGUGCCCUUCCUCACCUUUAGUGCCUCCUUCCAUUUUAAAAGACAUCAGAGUCCAACAUGGCCCCAUCCUUGGCUCAGAGAGGGGAUCCUGUGGCAGAGGUUGCUUUUGGUUGUUGACAGAGCCAGGACAUAAUGAAUAGCCCCGACUUUUCCCACCCUUUAAGGUUUUGUUUUUCUACGGUUUCUCUAAUGUCAAUCCAAUAUGGUCUUAACAACUGUCCCUUCAACACAUUAUCUUCAUAAAAUGUUUAAAAAAG